AAUAAAUGACUUUUCCAGGAUCACACAGUUAGUAAGUGAACUUAGAUGAGUCUUCUUGACUUCUAGCUUCUAUCCACUGUGCCAUAUAUCUGUCUUCUAUAUUAUACUAGCAUACACACACACAUACACACACACACACACACACACACACACACACACACACACACACACACAAAUGCUAAAAUCAAUUGUUUGUGGCCACUCCAGUCUGAAAUUUCAUAUAUUUCUACAGCACAAAGUUGAUCUCACCAUUGUCAAGGAAAUAUGCUUACAUUCUUGACUCUUCCCUCUCCAUAACCAUGCUAAUUUUUAUCCAUUCUACUUCUACAUUUCUUGUACCCAUUUCUUUUUCUGUUCCCUCAGGUUCAUCACCUCUUGCCUGACAAUUUUUCCCAAUUGUUUCUCUCACAUUUCCAAUCAAUCCUCCACACAGUUGCCAACAUAAUCUUUGGAAAAUAAAGGUCUUCUGGAAUUAUUCCAAGAGAGUUAUAGGAAUGUGUAUAUCCUUGGGCCCUACAAAACCACUGUUGGAUCUGUUUUCCUAGGCUAUCAUCAAUAUUUGGAAUUCACUCUAUCUUCAGCCCUGCCUCUUAGUAGCCUAGGUUCACAUAAUGUGCCUCUUCCUAAGAUGAGUGUGCACAAAGACACGUGUGCAUGAAGGAGAUUUAAGUGGAAAAGUCAAUGCACAGAGACAGGCCCACUCUCUCAGCAUUGGAAGCCUGGGUCCAGUGGCACAAAAAGUCAUUACACCUGGAGACUCUCUAAGCUGCAUUGGAUGGCCGUGUUGUCCUUUGUGCUCCAACAUGCCCUGAGCACUCCACAGUGCUUUGCUGCAUCGCCCUCUCAGCCAUUGAACCUUCUUGUUGGUUUCUUCUGCCUGUUUCACCAAAGUAGUCUUCACAUGUUGGGAUAAAAAAUAAACUCCACUGUUCUUCUAAAGCCA
RNAcentral lists this long non-coding RNA (943 nucleotides) under Monodelphis domestica (gray short-tailed opossum). RNAcentral's name for it is "lncRNA (ENSMODG00000035441.2)". The record is from RNAcentral. Lineage: Eukaryota; Metazoa; Chordata; Mammalia; Didelphimorphia; Didelphidae.